RNAcentral lists this ribosomal RNA (368 nucleotides) under uncultured organism. RNAcentral's name for it is "bacterial SSU rRNA". It matches the Rfam family "Bacterial small subunit ribosomal RNA", at positions 526 to 896 of the family's 1533-position model. The record is from RNAcentral.
CGGAGGGUGCAAGCGUUAUCCGGAUUCACUGGGUUUAAAGGGUGCGUAGGCGGGCAGGUAAGUCCGUGGUGAAAUCUCUGAGCUUAACUCAGAAACUGCCAUGGAUACUAUUUGUCUUGAAUAUUGUGGAGGUAAGCGGAAUAUGUCAUGUAGCGGUGAAAUGCUUAGAUAUGACAUAGAACACCAAUUGCGAAGGCAGCUUGCUACACAGUUAUUGACGCUGAGGCACGAAAGCGUGGGGAUCAAACAGGAUUAGAUACCCUGGUAGUCCACGCCCUAAACGAUGAUUACUCGACAUCAGCGAUACACUGUUGGCGUCUGAGCGAAAGCAUUAAGUAAUCCACCUGGGAAGUACGACCGCAAGGUUG